UAUAAAUGUCUGAAGCUUUACGUCAUUUCAGGAAACGCCCAAGCCGAGUUUUAUUCGAAACAUGUAAGGUUCGACGUUUGAAAUAGGCCUCAUAGUAGUAAGGUUAAAAAUAUCCUAAAAAUACAGAUUGUAUACAUGCAAACUAUAAUCACAACGUAUUAUAGACGUGUUAUGACACAUACCAAUGACGUUGGACAUACAUACACAAAGGUUCACCGUUUGGCCCAACGCCGAACGGGUUAAGAUGGGUUAGGAUGAAUGUUAUAGGGUGUUAUUAAGAGAUUUCCAUACAGGAGGCCAGGUUUAUUUAAAAUUCAAUUUGCAAGGUAAAUGGAAAAGAAAAGAAGUUGCUCAUUUUUAGAAAAUGUUUUUACUUGACGGCAUGACAUACUUUCCUUAUUUUCACACUAAAGGAGCAGUGAUCAUUAAGGG
Paramuricea clavata is the source of this 432-nucleotide non-coding RNA. The record is from the annotation of a GenBank genome assembly. Lineage: Eukaryota; Metazoa; Cnidaria; Anthozoa; Malacalcyonacea; Plexauridae.